GCCCAAAGAAGGGACGAGGCCAUUGUCAGUCCUAGGAAAGGGGACUGCGAGGAGCUCGACAGGCGCGCAGCCUUUCCCUGGGAGCGCGUGGAAGGAAGGCAGCGCGAGCCAGGCCUGGGAGGAAGAGAGCUGGGGCAGGUGAAGUACUUUGGCCUGUAGCUGAUUGCAAGAGCCUUCAGGAAAGCAUAAGAAUAAAAUGAUAACUGUCUGUGAAUGACAAAAGACUUAAAGUGGCCAUGGUUGAAGAUCUGAUGAGAGUUCAUUUUAACUCAACUGACAAGGAAAUUUUGUUGCUUCUGUGACAUCCAACAUUUUAAGAUAAUAAGUAGAAUUAUGACUGAUAACAUUAUACCAGGACACGUCAUGAACGGCAAGCUGCGACUUCACCGUGUGGCCCCAGGUGUGCUGUGUAUCCUCCGUGAUCUCUUAACCAUGGAUGCAAGAGGCAUCUCCAAAGAGAGUGCAAAAGAUGCAGCCACACGAUCCAGAGUCACUCCCACAGACAGCCGCAGAAGACAGAUGUCAAUGAACACCCUGAGAGCUGGCAACAAUCAAUGAGAUGGCAGCCACAAUAUUUCUGUUCAGCUAACUACAAAUUUUGGGGUCCCCCAACCUGAUAGUUGGCUGCCUAUAGAUGCAGCCCUGACAACCCGGUGCCCCCGGCAGGCAGAAAGUCAAAUCAAGCUUUCAGACAUAAAAUGAGGCAAACAGGAAAGCAAUGGCUGUCCCUGGGAAAGAAAGAAUCAAUGACCCAUGAGUACUCAAGACCAAGAGUCACCCAAGAGUAAUACCCAAAGAAGUAGAUCCUUCCAGUGUUUUCUCCUGGACGAGGAGCGCUCUUACUGCCCUCAUCUGAUCAGACUCCAAGCAAAAUUCCGAGAGGCUGACUUGGUAAGAUUUUUCACUUUUGGCAAGCUUUGUCCAGCAUCCUGAGUUCUCAGCUAC
RNAcentral lists this long non-coding RNA (945 nucleotides) under Equus asinus (donkey). Its description in RNAcentral is "lncRNA (ENSEASG00005035237.1)". Lineage: Eukaryota; Metazoa; Chordata; Mammalia; Perissodactyla; Equidae. The record is from RNAcentral.